This 526-nucleotide ribosomal RNA is filed under the name uncultured bacterium. RNAcentral's name for it is "bacterial SSU rRNA". It matches the Rfam family "Bacterial small subunit ribosomal RNA", at positions 8 to 525 of the family's 1533-position model. The record is from RNAcentral.
AGAGUUUGAUCAUGGCUCAGGAUGAACGCUAGCGGGAGGCUUAAUACAUGCAAGUCGAGCGGUAAUUUAGGAAUAGCAAUAUUUCUGAGCUAGAGCGGCGCACGGGUGAGUAACGCGUACACGACCUGCCCUUUACUGGGGGAUAGCCUUGGGAAACUGAGAUUAAUACCCCAUGGUAUUAUUAUGCUGCAUGGUAUAAUAAUUAAAGCUGAGGCGGUAAAGGAUGGGUGUGCGUCUGAUUAGCUAGUUGGUAGGGUAACGGCCUACCAGGGCGAUGAUCAGUAGGGGGCGUGAGAGCGUGACCCCCCACACGGGUACUGAGACACGGACCCGACUCCUACGGGAGGCAGCAGUAAGGAAUAUUGGUCAAUGGAGGGAACUCUGAACCAGCCAUCCCGCGUGCAGGAUGAAGGGGCUCUGCCCUGUAAACUGCUUUUGAAUGGGACGAAAAAGCCUCACUUGUGAGGAACUGACGGUACCAUUAGAAUAAGCACCGGCUAACUCCGUGCCAGCAGCCGCGGUAAUA